RNAcentral lists this unclassified non-coding RNA (477 nucleotides) under Hevea brasiliensis (rubber tree). The record is from RNAcentral. Lineage: Eukaryota; Viridiplantae; Streptophyta; Magnoliopsida; Malpighiales; Euphorbiaceae.
AUGAAAAUAAAUUAAAGUUAAGGAAUUUUAUUUUAACAAAUUAAAGUUCAAGGAUGGAAAUGAAAGUAGCCCCUAAGUUCAGGGACGGUUUGUGCAAUUAAACCACCAUUUGCAGGUAUAGCACAACAGUCUUCUCUACAAGCAGGCUUGUUUAGGUGAUAUGCAACAUUCGCGCGCAUGUGUGGAAGAAGACUACUCAAGCUUCACAAUGCAGUUAGUAAAACUACAACAGUGCAAAGAUCAAAUAAGUUUAAAAUUUGCAAAUCUUUUCCCUACUUUCUCAAACUACAAAACUGCAUCCAAGUAAUGACAACAAUAGCAAAGUUAACAACUAAUCCUCAGUUCAGUUGCGACGGAAAUGCCAACAAUUGGAUAGAAAUUAGGAUUUCAAAACUACCAAUUCUGAUUAUAUCUUCCUGGCAUAAUAACAGCGCCUUCCAUUGAACUAAGCCAAACUGAGAUUUGCAUGGCAAUGCU